GUGGGGAAUAUUGGACAAUGGGCGCAAGCCUGAUCCAGCCAUGCCGCGUGUGUGAAGAAGGCCUUCGGGUUGUAAAGCACUUUUGUACGGGAAGAAAAGCGCCGAUUUAAUACAUGGGCGUCAUGACGGUACCGUAAGAAUAAGCACCGGCUAACUUCGUGCCAGCAGCCGCGGUAAUACGAAGGGUGCAAGCGUUACUCGGAAUUACUGGGCGUAAAGCGUGCGUAGGUGGUUUGUUAAGUCUGAUGUGAAAGCCCUGGGCUCAACCUGGGAACUGCAUUGGAAACUGGCUGACUAGAGUGCGGUAGAGGGUAGCGGAAUUCCCGGUGUAGCAGUGAAAUGCGUAGAUAUCGGGAGGAACAUCCGUGGCGAAGGCGGCUACCUGGACCAGCACUGACACUGAGGCACGAAAGCGUGGGGAGCAAACAGGAUUAGAAACCCCAGUAGUCC
RNAcentral lists this ribosomal RNA (450 nucleotides) under uncultured bacterium. RNAcentral's name for it is "bacterial SSU rRNA". It matches the Rfam family "Bacterial small subunit ribosomal RNA", at positions 354 to 796 of the family's 1533-position model. The record is from RNAcentral.